Long non-coding RNA from Cydia strobilella, 2350 nucleotides. RefSeq lists it as uncharacterized. The transcript is spliced from 2 exons. The record is from RefSeq and is a predicted model, not a curated record. Lineage: Eukaryota; Metazoa; Arthropoda; Insecta; Lepidoptera; Tortricidae.
UUCUGCCGCUCGUGCUGGGCGUGGCAGCACUCGGGGCCGGGCGCGGGGGAGGAGCACCGCCCGCUCAUGCGCAGCUCCGCGCACAAGGCGCCGCCACCGCCGCCGCGCGACGACUUCAUGUACACAGCCGGCACGCCGUCGCCAGCGACGUCGGGCACGUCCGGCACGUCCGGCACGUCGGGCACGUCGGGGUCCGGCGCGUCGGCCGGCGACGAGCCCGCGCUGCCGGACUACCGCCGCCGCCGCCGCCGCGACUAGUCGCAGCGCGCCGCAGUCUCAACGCCGUUCCAGACACUGCUACAACUGCACUCCACACGUUUAGGGAUAACGAUAAGUCUACGUUUUUGUAGCCCAGAUAUUAAAAUGACUGUUCGGAUGACCAAUAUACUUGUACAAUAUUUUGUAUUAAAAUGACAGCUCGGAAUAACUGUGCCAAACGGUCAUUUGAGUAUCUGGGAUAUAUGAGCGCUUGCUGUAUCAUAUACACGGUGGCUAAAAAAAAUAGGUGCAUUCCCGUUGCCAGGGAGGUUUUGGGAUUAUACUGAGCAACUUUCACUAUGGGACCAACCCCGAAAUCGCGAAAAAAUUUUUCGCUGUUUUAUACAUUUUGGCUGGUCCAUUUUCUAUGGGAGGGUAAAAGUUGCUCAGUGUAAUCCCAAAACCUCCCUGGCAACGGGAAUGACUUAUUUUGUAGCCAGCCUAUAUAUCUACAAACGAGCCGCUUCGUAAGGAAAUUGUCGCGCGAAGCAGCUCGGUCUGCGUAGACGUGCCUCGCCCGAGGCAAUGCGGCCCAGACCGAACUACUUCGCGGCAAUUUCCUCGCGAGGCGACUCGUUCUGUGUAGACCCGUCUUAGGGUUACUACAUACAGCGCUCGUUUUGCUCUAAUUUUAUCCCUUUGUGCUACAAAUUCCUAUAUUCACGUUAAGAACAUCCAAGGACACUGUUCCGACAAUGAUAUUGUUUCAUUGGUGUUCUUAAGAGUGAUAAUAGGGCAAAACGCGCAGUGUAACUACUAAUAUGAAAACGAAACCCUCGAUAAUUGCCAAACUAAAGAUGCUGCUAAAGCCACGUGACUUCAAAACAUUGACCAUUCUUUAUUUUAAAACGUAGUGAAAAUCAACGCAAGUUUGGAAUCUUGUCAAAUAAAAUCACUUUCGUUUUCAUUCUAGUGGGACGGAAUGUAAGUUGUAUAAAAGUGCUACACUAUGCAAAUACGGUACAAUGUUACCUUAUGUACCCUAAAUGACAAAUGAGAUCCACAGUCCUACAAUUUUUCUCGCAUAUUUCAGUUUUAAAGUUUUAUUUGUACCAUAAUAGCUUCGUAAUCUUCACGAAUACGAAACUUAUUAGUGUUUGGUAAAUUUUAAACUGUUUAAUAGAUUUUAAAGUUUUUUUUGGUUACCUUACUAUCCCAUAGCGUUAUUUGAUCAUAGGAUAGGUAUAAAGUUUUAAGAAAAAUUGCCCCGAGUUCGUCAGAUGAAGUAGAUGGCGCUCUACGGCGCCAAGUUUGUUUCUUAAGCUUUAUAGCUAUUUUAUUAUGUUUAAUGUCUGCUGUACCUUACAAAAUUAUUAAGUAAAUUGUCUUGAAUUUUAACGUUUUAAAGUUUUUACCGUAUUUGAGAGGGAGUGUGGGGCGUGUGGAGGUUUCGCGGGCGCAAUGUUGUAGACGCUAUUAAGUUGGGCGCUUCGCCAGCAUUUACUGUUGAUUUAGUUGAUUUUUAAUUAUUUUGAAAUGUAGCCGAUGGGUCAUUAUCCGCAUUUCUUGAAAUGAACCGUCUACCUUUUGAUGCUUGAUAGAAAUACGGAUAUGCAGUCACGGCAGCAAUUGCAACCGAAUGCACUUAAUGAGUUAUUUCGUAUUUGAAGGGAAAAGUGCACCUCGCCCUUGAAAUAUUAUUGUAUAGCAUUUACUUCAGGUUGCAAUUUGCAGCCAAGAAAUCGGCUAUGUUUCUUUUUGGCUGAAGUUUCAACCGUUUGUUUAUCUCUUAGUCAAAUCGUUGAAAGUCCAGCCACACAGAAGUUACAUAAUAUGUAUCAUUUAUUUACCGUUGAUUAUUUUGUUAAUUUUUCUAUGUACGAGUAAUCUUAAGCCAAUACGCCUUUCGCGUAGGAAUGUUCCUUAGACAAUUUUACAUACAGUGCCUAAAUAGACGUAGGAUUUUACGGUUUUUAAUGUGCCUGUAGCCCAGUUUUAACGUUUUAAAGGGCCUUCAAAUAUUCGGUCGAAUUUGGAAUUUUUAUAGUGUUUUAGAUCGUCGAAUCAUGAAAUGUUGAUUUUAACUUUGCUUUUUGAUUUUUAAAAGUAUACAAUUAAACUGUUAUUGCAAAUAAACUAUUUAAAUAAUGAA